RNAcentral lists this ribosomal RNA (497 nucleotides) under uncultured bacterium. Its description in RNAcentral is "bacterial SSU rRNA". It matches the Rfam family "Bacterial small subunit ribosomal RNA", at positions 29 to 496 of the family's 1533-position model. The record is from RNAcentral.
AACGAACGCUGGCGGCGUGGAUAAGACAUGCAAGUCGAACGAGAAACUUUUGGAGCUUGCUUUGGAAGUUUCUAGUGGCGAACGGGUGCGUAACACGUGAGCAACCUGCCCAAAAGAGGGGGAUAGCUCGGGGAAACUCGAAUUAAUACCGCAUGUGGUCUACCAGGACAUCCUGGGACGAUUAAAGGUGGGGAUCUUCGGACCUGCCGCUUUUGGAUGGGCUCGCGGCCUAUCAGCUUGUUGGUGAGGUAAAAGCUCACCAAGGCUACGACGGGUAACUGGUCUGAGAGGAUGAUCAGUCACACUGGAACUGAGACACGGUCCAGACACCUACGGGUGGCAGCAGUCGAGAAUCAUUCGCAAUGGGCGAAAGCCUGACGGUGCGACGCCGCGUGGAGGAUGACGGUCUUCGGAUUUGUAAAACUCCUGUCAUCAGAGAGUAAGGUUUUCCGGUUAAUAGCCGGAGAAAUUGAUAGUAUCUGAAGAGGAAGGGACGG